Molecule: ribosomal RNA, 429 nt
Filed under: Chloroflexota bacterium
Lineage: Bacteria; Bacillati; Chloroflexota
Description: Chloroflexi bacterium partial 16S ribosomal RNA
Rfam family: Bacterial small subunit ribosomal RNA
Source: RNAcentral
UGGGGAAUAUUGCACAAUGGGCGCAAGCCUGAUGCAGCCAUGCCGCGUGUGUGAAGAAGGCCUUCGGGUUGUAAAGCACUUUCAGCGGGGAGGAAGGCGUUAAGGUUAAUAACCUUGGCGAUUGACGUUACCCGCAGAAGAAGCACCGGCUAACUCCGUGCCAGCAGCCGCGGUAAUACGGAGGGUGCAAGCGUUAAUCGGAAUUACUGGGCGUAAAGCGCACGCAGGCGGUCUGUCAAGUCGGAUGUGAAAUCCCCGGGCUCAACCUGGGAACUGCAUUCGAAAAUGGCAGGCUAGAGUCUUGUAGAGGGGGGUAGAAUUCCAGGUGUAGCGGUGAAGUGCGUAGAGAUCUGGAGGAAUACCGGUGGCGAAGGCGGCCCCCUGGACAAAGACUGACGCUCAGGUGCGAAAGCGUGGGGAGCAAACAGG